This 590-nucleotide ribosomal RNA is filed under the name uncultured soil bacterium C0224. RNAcentral's name for it is "bacterial SSU rRNA". It matches the Rfam family "Bacterial small subunit ribosomal RNA", at positions 96 to 695 of the family's 1533-position model. The record is from RNAcentral.
AUGCGAACGGGUGAGAAANAAGUGGUAAAGUGCCCNGGAAUUUGGGAUAACAAGUGGGAAACCGUUGUAAUACCGAAUAACCUGCAGGCUUCGCAUGAUGCAGCAGGCAAAGUUCCGCCGUUCNGGGAUCGGCCCGCGGUGUAUCAGCUUGUUGGUGGGGUAACGGCCUACCAAGGCUUUGACGCAUAGCUGGCGUGAGAGCGCGACCAGCCAACAACUGGGACUGAGACACGGCCCAGACUCCUACGGGGAGGCAGCAGUAGGGAAUCUUGCGCAAUGGGCGAAAGCCUGACGCAGCGACGCCGCGUGAGGGAUGAAUGCCUUCGGGUUGUAAACCUCUUUCAGCAGGGACGAAGCCUCACGGUGACGGUACCUGCAGAAGAAGCCCCGGCCAACUACGUGCCAGCAGCCGCGGUAAUACGUAGGGGGCAAGCGUUGUCCGGAUUUAUUGGGCGUAAAGAGCUCGUAGGCGGCUGGUCACGUCGGGUGUGAAAGCUCAAAGCUCAACUUUGAGAGGCCAUUCGAUACGGAUCAGCUAGAGGUAGGUAGGGGAAAGUGGAAUUCCUGGUGUAGCGGUGAAAUGCGCAGAU